Molecule: ribosomal RNA, 322 nt
Filed under: uncultured bacterium
Lineage: Bacteria
Description: partial 16S ribosomal RNA
Rfam family: Bacterial small subunit ribosomal RNA
Source: RNAcentral
UGCCAGCARCCGCGGUAAUACGUAGGGUGCAAGCGUUAAUCGGAAUUACUGGKCGUAAAGCGUGCGCAGGCGGUUAUAUAASACAGAUGUGAAAUCCCCGGGCUCAACCUGGGAACUGCAUUUGWGACUGUAUAGCUAGAGUACGGCARAGGGGGAUGGAAUUCCGCGUGUAGCAGUGAAAUGCGUARAUAUGCGGAGGAACACCGAUGGCGAAGGCAAUCCCCUGGGCCUGUACURACCGCUYAUGCACGAAAGCGUGGGGAGCAAACAGGAUUUANGAUWCCCUGGUAGGCCAAGGGCGAAUUCUGUUUAAAACCUGCAG